UUAAAUUGAGAGUUUGAUCCUGGCUCAGGACGAACGCUGGCGGCGUGCCUAACACAUGCAAGUCGAGCGAUGAAACUUCCUUCGGGGAGUGGAUUAGCGGCGGACGGGUGAGUAACACGUGGGUAACCUGCCUCAAAGAGGGGGAUAGCCUCCCGAAAGGGAGAUUAAUACCGCAUAACAUUAUUUUAUGGCAUCAUAAAAUAAUCAAAGGAGCAAUCCGCUUUGAGAUGGACCCGCGGCGCAUUAGCUAGUUGGUGAGGUAAGGGCUCACCAAGGCGACGAUGCGUAGCCGACCUGAGAGGGUGAUCGGCCACAUUGGAACUGAGACACGGUCCAGACUC
Molecule: ribosomal RNA, 341 nt
Filed under: Clostridium botulinum
Lineage: Bacteria; Bacillati; Bacillota; Clostridia; Eubacteriales; Clostridiaceae
Description: bacterial SSU rRNA
Rfam family: Bacterial small subunit ribosomal RNA
Source: RNAcentral